GUUACUAGCACUCUAGCCACGUCGUCGUUGUUAUUGUGUGUCUCGUACGUCCCCUCAUGAUGGACAAUUGAAGUCUUUACCUUAAUUAACUGGGCGCCCGCCAACUAAACAGAAGUCAAGAGAAAAAGCACAAGAAAGCAAAAAUUUGAAGAAAACAAAGCAAACCUACAAAGGAACAGCGAUCGAGACGCAAAAUUAGGACCAUGAUGAUAACGUUAUAGAACAGCUUGUGUAGGUACAGACUCUUGC
Molecule: long non-coding RNA, 249 nt
Organism: Corticium candelabrum
Lineage: Eukaryota; Metazoa; Porifera; Homoscleromorpha; Homosclerophorida; Plakinidae
Exons: 3
Source: RefSeq, a predicted model, not a curated record